This 510-nucleotide ribosomal RNA is filed under the name uncultured bacterium. Its description in RNAcentral is "partial 16S ribosomal RNA". It matches the Rfam family "Bacterial small subunit ribosomal RNA", at positions 28 to 507 of the family's 1533-position model. The record is from RNAcentral.
GACGAACGCUGGCGGCGUGCUUAACACAUGCAAGUCGAACGAAGAGCGAUGGAAGCUUGCUUCUAUCAAUCUUAGUGGCGAACGGGUGAGUAACGCGUAAUCAACCUGCCCUUCAGAGGGGGACAACAGUUGGAAACGACUGCUAAUGCCGCAUACGAUCUGACCUCGGCAUCGAGGAUAGAUGAAAGGUGGCCUCUAUUUAUAAGCUAUCACUGAAGGAGGGGAUUGCGUCUGAUUAGCUAGUUGGAGGGGUAACGGCCCACCAAGGCGAUGAUCAGUAGCCGGUCUGGGGGGAUGGACGGCCACAUUGGGACUGAGACACGGCCCAGACUCCUACGGGAGGCAGCAGUGGGGAAUCUUCCGCAAUGGACGAAAGUCUGACGGAGCAACGCCGCGUGAGUGAUGACGGCCUUCGGGUUGUAAAGCUCUGUUAAUCGGGACGAAAGGCCUUCUUGCGAAUAGUUAGAAGGAUUGACGGUACCGGAAGAGAAAGCCACGGCUAACUACGUG